CUGCAACUCGCCUGCACGAAGUCGGAAUUGCUAGUAAUCGUAGGUCAGCAUACUACGGUGAAUACGUUCCCGGGGCCUUGUACACACCGCCCGUCAAACCAUGAGAGUUGGCAACACCCGAAGUCGGUAGUCUAACCGCAAGGAGGACGCCGCCGAAGGUGGGGUUGAUGAUUAGGGUUAAGUCGUAACAAGGUAAC
Molecule: ribosomal RNA, 197 nt
Filed under: uncultured bacterium
Lineage: Bacteria
Description: partial 16S ribosomal RNA
Rfam family: Bacterial small subunit ribosomal RNA
Source: RNAcentral